This 697-nucleotide long non-coding RNA is filed under the name Junco hyemalis (dark-eyed junco). Its description in RNAcentral is "lncRNA (ENSJHYG00000018393.1)". The record is from RNAcentral. Lineage: Eukaryota; Metazoa; Chordata; Aves; Passeriformes; Passerellidae.
UGUCUAACAUAGGUGAUAGUUAUUGGGAAAUUAUGGUAAAUAAUGUACACGUAGUUUUUAAUAUAAAAGGUAACACCGCCCCUGAAGGCGGUCAGUGUGCCUCAACCUGACCUGCCAGACAGAGCUCAGCGGGUCGAAGAAAGAAUGAUAUCGAUAAGAAAUAAUUAACAACCUUGAGAAUGAGAGCCAAAGAAUCCUGACUCCUCCUUCAGCUGCCGGGCUGGGAAAAGAGACUCUGUAACAUAUCUUGGGGUCAUCCUGACCACAGAGACCCCUGAGACUGAAGAGCCGUCACCCCUUUGAUAAAGCUUUUCUCAUCUUCUCAGCUUUGCAUGCCUCAGGUGAGAAAAGAAAAGCCUGAGAGACUCAGCUGCCUGGCAAAUGGCCUGAGCACCUGGCCAUCCUAAAGCAGCAGCAGUCAUACAGCAACAGCCCCGCAGCAGAGCGCAACGUCAGACUCCAUCUCCACAAGUCACUCACCUUUCCCUCAGCAACAAAGAGGUCCUUGCAGCCAGCAGGAAGAGAGAGAUGACCACCGACUCUAGCAUGACAUCUUGGUGAGACUUGUGGAAGCAUGGAGGAUUGGCCCAUCCAGUCAGGAUCAUUGAGGCUGGAAAAGGCCUCCAAGGCCACUGAGUCCAACCUUGUCAUCAACCCAAAGCUCCAUGUCUGAUCCUUCCUUGGAUGUCACCAUCAU